GACGAACGCUGGCGGCGUGCCUAAUACAUGCAAGUCGAGCGGACGGAUGGGAGCUUGCUCCCAGACCGUCAGCGGCGGACGGGUGAGUAACACGUGGGCAACCUGCCUGUAAGACUGGGAUAACUCCGGGAAACCGGGGCUAAUACCGGAUAACUCUUUCCCUCACAUGAGGGAAAGCUGAAAGAUGGCAUCUCGCUAUCACUUACAGAUGGGCCCGCGGCGCAUUAGCUAGUUGGUGAGGGAACGGCUCACCAAGGCGACGAUGCGUAGCCGACCUGAGAGGGUGAUCGGCCACACUGGGACUGAGACACGGCCCAGACUCCUACGGGAGGCAGCAGUAGGGAAUCUUCCGCAAUGGACGAAAGUCUGACGGAGCAACGCCGCGUGAGUGAUGAAGGUUUUCGGAUCGUAAAACUCUGUUGUCAGGGAAGAACGAGUACCGGAGUAACUGCCGGUACCUUGACGGUACCUGACCAGAAAGCCACGGCUAACUACGUG
Molecule: ribosomal RNA, 498 nt
Filed under: uncultured bacterium
Lineage: Bacteria
Description: partial 16S ribosomal RNA
Rfam family: Bacterial small subunit ribosomal RNA
Source: RNAcentral